UUCAGACGGUGGAGAGUCAGAGGGUGGCGACUCCCAGGUGAAGGAAUGCCCUUCUCCCAAGAGCUGCAAGAGCCCCUCGACACAUGCACCUUGUUCUCCAGCACCCCAGACUGUGUCUCGACCAUCCAAAGAGGAAGAUGGUGAAGCACAGCCUUGUGGUCCUUCUCAGCCUCAGGCACUGUCCGUCCAGCAGUCCAGCACCAAGACUUCGAGCUCCAAACCAGCCACUCUAACACCAGUCUGCACCAGCCAACCCCUCAAUAACCCCUUCCACUUAUCAACAAACUGCAUUACCCCCUCCUCCACCACCACCUCCCCAACAAACUCCUCCCACACAGACCCCGCCCAAUCCGAGCGUCUCACAGAUCGCUGGUGGUAACCGAGGACCUACCCCUUCGUCCGUCCCCUUUCACAGUACCGGAUACUUGGGCACAGGAUGGCACUGACCACACCACUUAAUACCCGCCCCCUAAACAAACUUGCUCAGAGAGGGGCAGAGCUACAUUGUGUAACAUAGGCAACACAGCACCACUGUAAAUAUUUUCUAUGUACCUUUUCACAAAGGCUAAUGGAAACCAGUGGGUGAAAAGGGUACAUUUUAAAAAGAAAAACGAGAAAUGCAGAACUGUAUCAGUAGACUUUGUGUAAAAGAUGAUGGUUAAUGAACCCUGGUGCUCACCACUUACCUAGAAUCAUCACUCACACCUCUCUCCUUCCCAUAACCUUGUACUGCCAUCCUGUCUUUUCCAGACGUCGUUUUUUACUUUUAAUGUUUUAAUUCAUUUUAAUCGCCCUUUCCGGUCUCUUCCCGUUGAAUCCUUCCUCUAUCCUCCCAGUGCAAUGCAAUGGGACAUUCCAGUUUCCUCCUUACCUUUCCCUGUUCUUCCCGUUUCUCACAGUUUUUUCACUCAUUAGUUAUUUGUUUUAUCUAGUGGCUCAUUAUAUAGCAAAAAGGUUUUGUAUAGAGAAAAAAAAUACAGAAUUAUUAUUUUUUUUAUUCCUCCAUGUAACAAAAAUAUCUGUGCACCGCUGCAGAAAUUCAGAGGAGACCUUUCUGAUAGGCCGCUUCACUGCCCCAGGAGACUGCACUUGUGUGAAUGAGCGAGUCUGUGUGCAUUGAGUGUGUUUUUAAGCGGAAGGGAGCGUGUAUGCUUGCAUGCCGCCCGCAUCCGUGUGCAUAUUUGAAGUGCGCAUGAGAGACGGAAAGCAAAUACGGCGCAGACAGAUGUGUGCUGUUCUCUUUGGCAGCUUUAGAAAGAGAGGUCCUUCCUGUAGGGGUAAG
Molecule: long non-coding RNA, 1282 nt
Filed under: Sinocyclocheilus anshuiensis
Lineage: Eukaryota; Metazoa; Chordata; Actinopteri; Cypriniformes; Cyprinidae
Description: lncRNA (ENSSANG00000039350.1)
Source: RNAcentral